This is a long non-coding RNA of Vombatus ursinus (common wombat), 605 nucleotides long. RefSeq lists it as uncharacterized. The transcript is spliced from 3 exons. The record is from RefSeq and is a predicted model, not a curated record. NCBI's taxonomy places the organism in Eukaryota, Metazoa, Chordata, Mammalia, Diprotodontia, Vombatidae.
GUAGUUACUGGUGAAAAUAAAGAAGAGUCUUAGGAGUGAAGCAUGGGGAAACAGUUAUGGAUAAUAAUGGAUAUGCUGAAAUAAUGGAAUUCUAGAAGAACUAAUUUCCUGGGAGAAGGACAACAUCUGAUUGAGGAGGCACGAGUGUGGAUUUAGAUUUAGAAGAGCUCUUUGAAGAGGGGAGAAAUCACCAUGGAGAAGGGCCCACCGUCCUCACCAUCUCCAGCAACAGCUGCUGACCAACUGCCAGCAACAUACAAGAGGCCUGGGAGUGACACUACCCAGCAGACCACCAGUUCUGCUUCCAGCUCAUCUCUCACAAUCAUCAUUAAGAAAGCAACUCAUGUGGAGAAGAAGCCAGCCAUCCUUCUCUAAAUGUCACCCACAAGGCAGGGCAUGUCCACCUAAUUGAAGCACUGACACUCAGGUGUGGAGGGCAUAGGGAGAAACAUGAGGCAACAUAUGUCAGUAAAGUCAGACCACACACCACAAUCACCACUCUGAAGACCAUCUCCCCUUAAACUCCUAUGGAGGACCCCAAACCCAAGAGUCUUGAGAAUAUCAGUGCUUCCAUCCCAGUGCCUGUAGACAUCAUCCUGGGAAAC